UAGUUUUAUACUCUCAACUCUGUCCAAUCCAAUCUAUGAUUUUCGAUUGACAAUUUGACAUACAACCACGGUUUAAGACACUCGUUCAGAAGUUUCGUCUAAAGUAGGCAUUACUUUAAGAAGUUUAAGAGUUUAAGACACGAAAUCAACUCAAGAUGGUGAAUUUCCUGAGAUGGAUUUUGAGUUAAGAGCAAGCCGAGCAAGAAUUAGUGGAUUUGGGUGGUUUGAACAACGGGCAUGAAAUAGUUUGUGGUAAAUGUUAGCUGCUUCUUGAACGGCUCUAACUAAAAUCCUAAUAGACUGCACGUCUAAAAUGAUUGAUGGUGAAAAAAUCUCGUUGAUGCCGACUGCUGUACAUAACAGUCACACUAUAUAGCAAAUCCAGAACAAAUCUCUCGUGCACGUGUCGGCGAAUCUGUG
Molecule: long non-coding RNA, 420 nt
Organism: Rhopalosiphum padi (bird cherry-oat aphid)
Lineage: Eukaryota; Metazoa; Arthropoda; Insecta; Hemiptera; Aphididae
Exons: 4
Source: RefSeq, a predicted model, not a curated record